UUAUGUGGAAAAUAAAAUUAAGCAUUCUCUGUGUUGAACCUUAUUUAGAAUGAAGACAAAUGAGUACACUUUACCAGAGGACGGAUUUUGGAUCGAUGUACCAAAAGGUUUUCUGCUGGGAGUUGAUCUUCUCAUCAUUGGAAUUGUCCUUUUUGGGCCAGAAUGAUCACUUUUCAGCCUUCAUAUUCUGGAAUCACUCCCUGAACACAAAGUGACAGCUGUUUUCCAAGAUACUAACAGCCCUGAAUCCACUACGACCACGUGUGCUGUUUCUUCCAGGACUUCAGCGGGUGCCCCGCCCAACAGCCCAAGUCCUUCCGCUUCUUGAGGAUGUAGCAAUGGUUCAUGGCUCAUCUGAAGUCAAGUGGCACACAGCACAGCUUUAUGGCAGAAGCUGAAGGCGGUAUCCUGGGGGGCGUCUUUUGCACGUAAGGGAAGUCAGGGACUGGCAGUCCCCAGAGGCUUCCCUCAAGAGGAGCUCAGCCUAAGCAGAAGGCGAGGAAGGAGGAUUGAAGUAUGGUGGGUUUCAGCCUAGAAGAAU
This 541-nucleotide long non-coding RNA is filed under the name Capra hircus (goat). Its description in RNAcentral is "lncRNA (ENSCHIG00000000827.1)". Lineage: Eukaryota; Metazoa; Chordata; Mammalia; Artiodactyla; Bovidae. The record is from RNAcentral.